CUCAUCACUUUAUAACUGACACAGAGAAUUUGCAAAUUACUGUUAUACAUGCUGAAUGAAUUUAAGUAUUGCAGUUAACUAGGAAUUGUAUUAGAUGUGAAUAUCAUGUAUGUUGUCAUUAUAUUAUUGUAAUAUGUUAUUUAUUUGUUUAUUACACACACACACACACGUUUACUACAGUAAAGUCAAAAUGUUCUGAAUCCUGUGCCGUGUUUUUACUGACACCCUGGGGCGAGCACAAUCUCCUGAUCAGCCCAAUAGUUCAAACUUCCCUACAUUGUGGUCCUUCGAGCCGGAUCGUGUGCUUACCACAGAGACAGGAUGUCAGAGCAACCUUCCUUUAAUAGUGUGCGCCCACGACGCAUAACUCAGCCUCCAGCCUAUCUCAGGGACUAUGAAGUACAAUAUCAUAUGCAACCAACUGAACCAGUUAGAAUCAGCCCCAUGCAGCAUCCAUAUGAAGCAGUAGCUGGAGCCAUGAGUACUCCAGUUUCUUGUGUUGAACGACAACCUGAGAGACAGUGGUCCACCACACUGCACUAUGAAAGUGAUGGAGAGGAGGAGCAUUCACUACAAGAGGAUGAGUCUUCAUUCAUAUCUGUUAGACACAGGUUGGAGGUUCAAGAUCUAAAAAGGGAGAAUAUGCAGUUACGUGAAGCUCAGAUGGUCCUUAAGGAGGAAAUUCGCCAGUUACAGACACUUCACAAAGAUAUGCAGACUUUAAGGCUGCAGCAGCAGUCAGCCUUACCAGCAUCUCAACCACAGCCAAUUAGUACAAUUCCAGUGCCACUCCCUAAAACCAUUUAUAGACAACCUGAGGUAACGGCACCAAGUCCAGUGCCCUACAUUCCAGUACCUACUCCACGCAGACCUCAAGCACCACCUAGGGAGAGUUCAUUUAAGUCAGGUGCAGACACAUAUGCCUACAAGUCCAGACCACAGCUUUCUACUGCUCAUAAGCUGCCAUACUCUUCUCCCACGGGGCGGCCUCAGAGCACUGUAUGUCCAGAGACCAGCUACAGGGGCCAACAACCAACGAUUCCAUACUUCACCCGUCAUGACCCUAGCGAGUUCGCUCGUUUAAAGUUGGCUCUUGACAAUCUGCUUCCUGAUGAUGCAAUUGAGCU
RNAcentral lists this long non-coding RNA (1127 nucleotides) under Carassius auratus (goldfish). Its description in RNAcentral is "lncRNA (ENSCARG00000018383.1)". The record is from RNAcentral. Lineage: Eukaryota; Metazoa; Chordata; Actinopteri; Cypriniformes; Cyprinidae.